This 495-nucleotide ribosomal RNA is filed under the name uncultured bacterium. Its description in RNAcentral is "partial 16S ribosomal RNA". It matches the Rfam family "Bacterial small subunit ribosomal RNA", at positions 28 to 507 of the family's 1533-position model. The record is from RNAcentral.
GACGAACGCUGGCGGCGUGCCUAAUACAUGCAAGUAGAACGCUGGAGGAGGAGCUUGCUCUUCUGGAUGAGUUGCGAACGGGUGAGUAACGCGUAGGUAACCUGCCUGGUAGCGGGGGAUAACUAUUGGAAACGAUAGCUAAUACCGCAUAAGAGUAGAUGUUGCAUGACAUUUGCUUAAAAGGUGCAAUUGCAUCACUACCAGAUGGACCUGCGUUGUAUUAGCUAGUUGGUGGGGUAACGGCUCACCAAGGCGACGAUACAUAGCCGACCUGAGAGGGUGAUCGGCCACACUGGGACUGAGACACGGCCCAGACUCCUACGGGAGGCAGCAGUAGGGAAUCUUCGGCAAUGGACGGAAGUCUGACCGAGCAACGCCGCGUGAGUGAAGAAGGGUUUCGGAUAGUAAAGCUCUGUUGUAAGGGAAGAACGAGUGUGAGAGUGGAAAGUUCACACUGUGACGGUAUCUUACCAGAAAGGGACGGCUAACUACGUG